AGAGUUUGAUCCUGGCUCAGGAUGAACGCUGGCGGCGUGCUUAACACAUGCAAGUCGAACGAUGACUUUUGUGCUUGCACAAAAUGAUUAGUGGCGAACGGGUGAGUAACACGUGAGUAACCUGCCCUUAACUUCGGGAUAAGCCUGGGAAACCGGGUCUAAUACCGGAUACGACGGACCACCGCAUGGCGGUCCGUGGAAAGCUUGAUGCGGUUUUGGAUGGACUCGCGGCCUAUCAGCUAGUUGGUUGGGGUAAUGGCCCACCAAGGCGACGACGGGUAGCCGGCCUGAGAGGGUGACCGGCCACACUGGGACUGAGACACGGCCCAGACUCCUACGGGAGGCAGCAGUGGGGAAUAUUGCACAAUGGGCGAAAGCCUGAUGCAGCGACGCCGCGUGAGGGACGAAGGCCUUCGGGUUGUAAACCUCUUUCAGCAGGGAAGAAGCGAAAGUGACGGUACCUGCAGAAGAAGCGCCGGCUAACUACGUGCCAGCAGCCGCGGUAAUACGUAGGGCGCAAGCGUUAUCCGGAAUUAUUGGGCGUAAAGAGCUCGUAGGCGGUUUGUCGCGUCUGCUGUGAAAGCCCGGGGCUCAACCCCGGGUCUGCAGUGGGUACGGGCAGACUAGAGUGCAGUAGGGGAGACUGGAAUUCCUGGUGUAGCGGUGAAAUGCGCAGAUAUCAGGAGGAACACCGAUGGCGAAGGCAGGUCUCUGGGCUGUAACUGACGCUGAGGCGCGAAAGCGUGGGGAGCAAACAGGAUUAGAUACCCUGGUAGUCCACGCUGUAAACGAUGAAUACUAGGUGUGGGAGGACUGACCCCUUCCGUGCCGCAGUUAACACAAUAAGUAUUCCACCUGGGGAGUACGGCCGCAAGGCUGAAACUCAAAGGAAUUGACGGGGGCCCGCACAAGCAGUGGAUUAUGUGGUUUAAUUCGACGCAACGCGAAGAACCUUACCAGGACUUGACAUCCAACUAACGAAGUAGAGAUACAUUAGGUGCCCUUCGGGGAAAGUUGAGACAGGUGGUGCAUGGUUGUCGUCAGCUCGUGUCGUGAGAUGUUGGGUUAAGUCCCGCAAUGAGCGCAACCCCUAUUGUUAGUUGCUACGCAAGAGCACUCUAGCGAGACUGCCGUUGACAAAACGGAGGAAGGCGGGGACGAUGUCAAAUCAUCAUGCCCCUUAUGUCCUGGGCUACACACGUAAUACAAUGGCCGUCAACAAAGGGAAGCAAAGCCGCGAGGUGGAGCAAAUCCCCAAAAACGGUCUCAGUUCGGAUUGCAGGCUGCAACUCGCCUGCAUGAAGCUGGAAUUGCUAGUAAUCGUGGAUCAGCAUGCCACGGUGAGCACGUUCCCGGGCCUUGCACUCACCGCCCGUCA
RNAcentral lists this ribosomal RNA (1378 nucleotides) under uncultured bacterium. Its description in RNAcentral is "partial 16S ribosomal RNA". It matches the Rfam family "Bacterial small subunit ribosomal RNA". The record is from RNAcentral.